GCGAGGAUGGCGGAAUCUGGCAGACGCACUAGAUUGAGGGUCUAGCGGGGAUAAUCCCUGUGGGGGUUCAAAUCCCCCUCCUCGCACUA
RNAcentral lists this transfer RNA (89 nucleotides) under Deltaproteobacteria bacterium. Its description in RNAcentral is "tRNA-Leu". It matches the Rfam family "tRNA". Rfam says of the family: Transfer RNA (tRNA) molecules are approximately 80 nucleotides in length. Their secondary structure includes four short double-helical elements and three loops (D, anti-codon, and T loops). The record is from RNAcentral. Lineage: Bacteria; Pseudomonadati; Myxococcota; Myxococcia.